GCUUGCAUCUCUGAUACUUAGCGGCGGACGGGUGAGUAACACGUGGGUAACCUGCCUAUAAGACUGGGAUAACAUUCGGAAACGAAUGCUAAUACCGGAUACGCGAUUUGGUCGCAUGACCGAAUCGGGAAAGAUGGAGCAAUCUAUCACUUAUAGAUGGACCCGCGGCGCAUUAGCUAGUUGGUGAGGUAACGGCUCACCAAGGCGACGAUGCGUAGCCGACCUGAGAGGGUGAUCGGCCACACUGGGACUGAGACACGGCCCAGACUCCUACGGGAGGCAGCAGUAGGGAAUCUUCCGCAAUGGACGAAAGUCUGACGGAGCAACGCCGCGUGAGUGAUGAAGGUUUUCGGAUCGUAAAGCUCUGUUGCCAGGGAAGAAUGCUUGGGAGAGUAACUGCUCCCAAGGUGACGGUACCUGAGAAGAAAGCCCCGGCUAACUACGUGCC
RNAcentral lists this ribosomal RNA (448 nucleotides) under Paenibacillus sp. R7.1. RNAcentral's name for it is "bacterial SSU rRNA". It matches the Rfam family "Bacterial small subunit ribosomal RNA", at positions 66 to 509 of the family's 1533-position model. Lineage: Bacteria; Bacillati; Bacillota; Bacilli; Caryophanales; Paenibacillaceae. The record is from RNAcentral.